ACGGAUUGAACCAAAUAAAUUCUUUUCUAACAUGAAAUGCAUUUAACGGGAUGAAAAUACCCUUGAAAUACUAUCGUCUCUUUUGUGGUAUCAGAAACUGUGCGAUUAGUUGCACUCAUUGUUUCAUGUAUCGCACUUUCAAAAACUGACAUCACUGUCCUACAUAAAGUGCAAUUCAUCCGUGAUUAUCUGUGAUAUUGAUAUCUGAAAGGUUCUCUCAGCUGACAUUGGUGACGAAUACCAUUAUAUCAUGUCAUGUAAUUAUUUCAAAGAUGUAAGAUGUAGAUACUUACCACAAUACUUGUAAACAAAAUAUAAAUGUCAUUAAAUUCAAACAAGUAUGUUCAACCCAACAUAUUGUUAAGCUUGAGAAACUUUGUAGAUUUAUCAAAUCUAUUUUUGUGAAAGUCUAUCCUCUUGGUUAAAACAACUAUAUAUGUUUAUUUAUCUUUUGUGUAAAUA
RNAcentral lists this long non-coding RNA (462 nucleotides) under Mytilus galloprovincialis (Mediterranean mussel). Lineage: Eukaryota; Metazoa; Mollusca; Bivalvia; Mytilida; Mytilidae. The record is from RNAcentral.